GGUUAAGCGACUAAGCGUACACGGUGGAUGCCCUGGCAGUCAGAGGCGAUGAAGGACGUGCUAAUCUGCGAAAAGCGUCGGUAAGGUGAUAUGAACCGUUAUAACCGGCGAUGUCCGAAUGGGGAAACCCAGUGCAAUUCGUUGCACUAUCGUUAACUGAAUACAUAGGUUAACGAGGCGAACCGGGGGAACUGAAACAUCUAAGUACCCCGAGGAAAAGAAAUCAACCGAGAUUCCCCCAGUAGCGGCGAGCGAACGGGGAGCAGCCCAGAGUCUGAAUCAGCUUGUGUGUUAGUGGAACGGUCUGGAAAGUCCGACGGUACAGGGUGAUAGUCCCGUACACCAAAAUGCACAGGUUGUGAACUCGAAGAGUAGGGCGGGACACGUGGUAUCCUGUCUGAAUAUGGGGGGACCAUCCUCCAAGGCUAAAUACUCCUGACUGACCGAUAGUGAACCAGUACCGUGAGGGAAAGGCGAAAAGAACCCCGGCGAGGGGAGUGAAAAAGAACCUGAAACCGUGUACGUACAAGCAGUGGGAGCACCUUCGGGUGUGACUGCGUACCUUUUGUAUAAUGGGUCAGCGACUUAUAUUCUGUAGCAAGGUUAACCGUAUAGGGGAGCCGCAGGGAAACCGAGUCUUAACUGGGCGUUAAGUUGCAGGGUAUAGACCCGAAACCCGGUGAUCUAGCCAUGGGCAGGUUGAAGGUUGGGUAACACUAACUGGAGGACCGAACCGACUAAUGUUGAAAAAUUAGCGGAUGACUUGUGGCUGGGGGUGAAAGGCCAAUCAAACCGGGAGAUAGCUGGUUCUCCCCGAAAGCUAUUUAGGUAGCGCCUCGUGAACUCAUCUUCGGGGGUAGAGCACUGUUUCGGCUAGGGGGUCAUCCCGACUUACCAACCCGAUGCAAACUACGAAUACCGAAGAAUGUUAUCACGGGAGACACACGGCGGGUGCUAACGUCCGUCGUGAAGAGGGAAACAACCCAGACCGCCAGCUAAGGUCCCAAAGUCAUGGUUAAGUGGGAAACGAUGUGGGAAGGCACAGACAGCCAGGAUGUUGGCUUAGAAGCAGCCAUCAUUUAAAGAAAGCGUAAUAGCUCACUGGUCGAGUCGGCCUGCGCGGAAGAUGUAACGGGGCUAAACCAUGCACCGAAGCUGCGGCAGCGACACUAUGUGUUGUUGGGUAGGGGAGCGUUCUGUAAGCCUGCGAAGGUGUGCUGUGAGGCAUGCUGGAGGUAUCAGAAGUGCGAAUGCUGACAUAAGUAACGAUAAAGCGGGUGAAAAGCCCGCUCGCCGGAAGACCAAGGGUUCCUGUCCAACGUUAAUCGGGGCAGGGUGAGUCGACCCCUAAGGCGAGGCCGAAAGGCGUAGUCGAUGGGAAACAGGUUAAUAUUCCUGUACUUGGUGUUACUGCGAAGGGGGGACGGAGAAGGCUAUGUUAGCCGGGCGACGGUUGUCCCGGUUUAAGCAUGUAGGCUGGUUGUCCAGGCAAAUCCGGAUAAUCAAGGCUGAGGUGUGAUGACGAGGCACUACGGUGCUGAAGUAACAAAUGCCCUGCUUCCAGGAAAAGCCUCUAAGCAUCAGGUAACAUUAAAUCGUACCCCAAACCGACACAGGUGGUCAGGUAGAGAAUACCAAGGCGCUUGAGAGAACUCGGGUGAAGGAACUAGGCAAAAUGGUGCCGUAACUUCGGGAGAAGGCACGCUGGUGUGUAGGUGAAGUCCCUGCGGAUGGAGCUGAGACCAGUCGAAGAUACCAGCUGGCUGCAACUGUUUAUUAAAAACACAGCACUGUGCAAACACGAAAGUGGACGUAUACGGUGUGACGCCUGCCCGGUGCCGGAAGGUUAAUUGAUGGGGUUAUCCGUAAGGAGAAGCUCUUGAUCGAAGCCCCGGUAAACGGCGGCCGUAACUAUAACGGUCCUAAGGUAGCGAAAUUCCUUGUCGGGUAAGUUCCGACCUGCACGAAUGGCGUAAUGAUGGCCAGGCUGUCUCCACCCGAGACUCAGUGAAAUUGAACUCGCUGUGAAGAUGCAGUGUACCCGCGGCAAGACGGAAAGACCCCGUGAACCUUUACUAUAGCUUGACACUGAACAUUGAGCCUUGAUGUGUAGGAUAGGUGGGAGGCUUUGAAGCGUGGACGCCAGUCUGCGUGGAGCCAACCUUGAAAUACCACCCUUUAAUGUUUGAUGUUCUAACGUUGGCCCCUGACCGGGGUUGCGGACAGUGUCUGGUGGGUAGUUUGACUGGGGCGGUCUCCUCCCAAAGCGUAACGGAGGAGCACGAAGGUUAGCUAAUCCUGGUCGGACAUCAGGAGGUUAGUGCAAUGGCAUAAGCUAGCUUGACUGCGAGCGUGACGGCGCGAGCAGGUGCGAAAGCAGGUCAUAGUGAUCCGGUGGUUCUGAAUGGAAGGGCCAUCGCUCAACGGAUAAAAGGUACUCCGGGGAUAACAGGCUGAUACCGCCCAAGAGUUCAUAUCGACGGCGGUGUUUGGCACCUCGAUGUCGGCUCAUCACAUCCUGGGGCUGAAGUAGGUCCCAAGGGUAUGGCUGUUCGCCAUUUAAAGUGGUACGCGAGCUGGGUUUAGAACGUCGUGAGACAGUUCGGUCCCUAUCUGCCGUGGGCGCUGGAGAAUUGAGGGGGGCUGCUCCUAGUACGAGAGGACCGGAGUGGACGCAUCACUGGUGUUCGGGUUGUCAUGCCAAUGGCACUGCCCGGUAGCUAAAUGCGGAAGAGAUAAGUGCUGAAAGCAUCUAAGCACGAAACUUGCCCCGAGAUGAGUUCUCCCUGAGACUUUAAGUCUCCUGAAGGAACGUUGAAGACGACGACGUUGAUAGGCCGGGUGUGUAAGCGCAGCGAUGCGUUGAGCUAACCGGUACUAAUGAACCGUGAGGCUUAACCUU
RNAcentral lists this ribosomal RNA (2902 nucleotides) under Klebsiella pneumoniae. RNAcentral describes it as "23S ribosomal RNA". It matches the Rfam family "Bacterial large subunit ribosomal RNA". The record is from RNAcentral. Lineage: Bacteria; Pseudomonadati; Pseudomonadota; Gammaproteobacteria; Enterobacterales; Enterobacteriaceae. RNAcentral also lists the same sequence under 1 other name.